Molecule: long non-coding RNA, 826 nt
Organism: Gymnodraco acuticeps
Lineage: Eukaryota; Metazoa; Chordata; Actinopteri; Perciformes; Bathydraconidae
Exons: 3
Source: RefSeq, a predicted model, not a curated record
GGAAGUAGAAACAUUUGUUUACAUUGCAGGUAGAGGAAAUCGAGUUUGUUCACGGGAAUAUAUCGUGCAAUUAAAGGCUUCAAGCGCUGAUUUUACUUCGAGAAGGUAGGACAGGAUGGCAGGUACUUUGGGAAUGCCGGAGUCAGCUUACUCCUGCCUUUUUUGGUGUUUAAAUACCCACCGACCGAGAGACAGUGCGACUCUUAGCUGACACACAAGAGAGGGGUUGUUACCGGAGCUGGCGUAGAAUUCGGGACUUCCUCUGGCCCAAAGGAUAUUAAAAGCUACUCCAGAUGAGGACGGAAGGGACACCUGAAUGUGUGUCGUGCGGGAGCUGUGGCUCGUUCCCGCGGCGUCUGAACCAUGCUCUGAGCUAGCCUGUGUUUCGGGAAUGAGGCAUUUCUUACGGCUUCUUGCGUAUGAUGAUUCGGUUCCAGAGUCGGAGAUUGCAAUAGACAUUUGCAAGGACAGCACCGGCAGGACAUGCUCGGGCUCAAUCAAUCCUGCUUCAACAUGGUGGACUCAUGAAAAGCAUAGAGGAUGGGAGCAGCUCACAAGGUCUGAGGGAAGUCUGUGAAGUACGUACAGCAGAUCACCUGAUGCAUCAUGCCAUCCUGUUUUAAUUUGCAUACCUCAAUGGAACUGAACUGAGGUGUGGCAAAGUAUUGACGAGCAGAGUGGGGUUUGUGAUGCCAUGACACUGGAAGCACUGCUUUGGUUGUACUGUCUAUAUCAGGGGUGCCCAACCAGUCGAUCGCGAUCGACCGGUCGAUCGCGGGGAGAUUCCCAGUCGAUCGCGAGAUGUGUCUAAAAAUAGAACAACAAU